This 510-nucleotide ribosomal RNA is filed under the name uncultured bacterium. Its description in RNAcentral is "partial 16S ribosomal RNA". It matches the Rfam family "Bacterial small subunit ribosomal RNA", at positions 28 to 507 of the family's 1533-position model. The record is from RNAcentral.
GACGAACGCUGGCGGCGUGCUUAACACAUGCAAGUCGAACGAAGAGCGACGGAAGCUUGCUUCUAUCAAUCUUAGUGGCGAACGGGUGAGUAACGCGUAAUCAACCUGCCCUUCAGAGGGGGACAACAGUUGGAAACGACUGCUAAUACCGCAUACGAUCUAAUCUCGGCAUCGAGGAUGGAUGAAAGGUGGCUUCUACAUGUAAGCUAUCACUGAAGGCGGGGUUUGCGUCUGAUUAGCUAGUUGGGGGGGUAACGGGCCACCAAGGCGAUGAUCAGUAGCCGGUCUGAGAGGAGGAAGGGACACAUUGGGACUGAGAAACGGCCCACACUCCUACGGGAGGCAGCAGUGGGGAAUAUUCAGCAAUGGACGAAAGUCUGAAGGGGCAACGCCGCGUGAGUGAUGACGGCCUUCGGCUUGUAAAGCUCUGUUAAUCGGGACGAAAGGCCUUCUUGCGAAUAGUGAGAAGGAUUGACGGUACCGGAAUAGAAAGCCACGGCUAACUACGUG